This 515-nucleotide ribosomal RNA is filed under the name uncultured bacterium. RNAcentral describes it as "partial 16S ribosomal RNA". It matches the Rfam family "Bacterial small subunit ribosomal RNA", at positions 30 to 523 of the family's 1533-position model. The record is from RNAcentral.
AUUGAACGCUGGAGGCGUGCUUAACACAUGCAAGUCGUGCGAGAAAGGGACUUCGGUCCUGAGUAGAGCGGCGCACGGGUGAGUAACGCGUGGGUAAUCUCCCUUGGUGAUCGGGAUAACAGCGGGAAACUGCUGCUAAUACCGGAUAAUCUUCAUGUUUAACUUCAUGGGGUAAAGGUGGCCUCUGCUUGCAAGCUACCACACCGAGAUGAGCCCGCGUCUCAUUAGCUAGUUGGUAGGGUAAUGGCCUACCAAGGCUACGAUGAGUAGCUGGCCUGAGAGGAUGACCAGCCACACUGGGACUGGAAAACGGCCCAGAAUCCUACGGGAGGCAGCAGUGGGGAAUAUUGCGCAAUGGGCGAAAGCCUGACGCAGCGACGCCUCGUGAGGGAUGAAGGUCUUCGGAUCGUAAACCUCUGUCAAGAGGGAAGAAACCCUUGGAUUCGAAUAGGGUCCUUGGCUGACGGUACCUCAAAAGGAAGCACCGGCUAACUCCGUGCCAGCCGCCGCGGUAA